This 264-nucleotide long non-coding RNA is filed under the name Callithrix jacchus (white-tufted-ear marmoset). RNAcentral describes it as "lncRNA (ENSCJAG00000071908.1)". The record is from RNAcentral. Lineage: Eukaryota; Metazoa; Chordata; Mammalia; Primates; Cebidae.
GAACCUCCAUGGCUGACUAAUUUUUUGUGUUUCUAGUAGAGGGUUUUGCCAUGGUGGCUAGAGACUGGUCUCAAACUCCUGGCCUCAAGAAAUCUGCCAGCCUCAGCCUCUCAAACUGCUAGGAUUACAGGUGUGGGCCACCACACCCAGACAAGGGAAUUGAUUCAUAUGAUUGGAGCCUGGUAUAUCUGAAAUUUUUAAGAUUUUUUUGUCACACUGAUCAAUUACUGAAGAUGAAAUUCUUAUACCAGAUAGAAAUGAGGA